RNAcentral lists this ribosomal RNA (253 nucleotides) under uncultured bacterium. RNAcentral describes it as "partial 16S ribosomal RNA". It matches the Rfam family "Bacterial small subunit ribosomal RNA", at positions 524 to 776 of the family's 1533-position model. The record is from RNAcentral.
UACAGAGGGGGCAAGCGUUGUUCGGAAUUACUGGGCGUAAAGGGCGCGUAGGCGGCCUGCUAAGUCGAACGUGAAAUCCCCGAGCUCAACUCGGGAACUGCGUCCGAUACUGGCAGGCUUGAAUCCGGGAGAGGGAUGCGGAAUUCCAGGUGUAGCGGUGAAAUGCGUAGAUAUCGGGAGGAAUACCGAUGGCGAAGGCAGGUCUCUGGGCUGACACUGACGCUCAUGCACGAAAGCGUGGGGAGCAAACAGG